RNAcentral lists this transfer RNA (63 nucleotides) under Teredus cylindricus. Its description in RNAcentral is "tRNA-Ala". Lineage: Eukaryota; Metazoa; Arthropoda; Insecta; Coleoptera; Bothrideridae. The record is from RNAcentral.
AGGAUAAUAGUUAAAUUAACAUUUAAUUUGCAAUUAAAAAAUAUUGAUUAAUCAAUUUAUCUU